AGGAGCUCAAAUUUGAAAUCUGGGGUCCCCCGGCCCCCGAGUUGUAAUUUGGAGAGGCAUCUUCGGGGGGGAGCGCCGGCCCAUGUUCCUUGGAACAGGACGUCGCAGAGGGUGAGAAUCCCGUGCCAGGCCGGCUGCCUCCUCCCUAGUGAAGGGCCUUCGACGAGUCGAGUUGUUUGGGAAUGCAGCUCCAAGUGGGUGGUAAAUUUCAUCUAAAGCUAAAUACCGGCGGGAGACCGAUAGCGCACAAGUAGAGUGAUCGAAAGAUGAAAAGCACUUUGAAAAUAGAGUCAAAAAGUACGUGAAAUUGUUGAAAGGGAAGCGCUUGAGACCAGACUCAGACCCGAGCAAACACCGCGCCCCUCGGGGCCGUGCAAUUGCCUGGGGCUGGGCCAGCAUCAGUUGGCGUGGCGGGACAAAGGCGCGGGGAAUGUGGCUCCCCUCGGGGAGUGUUAUUAGGCCCGCGCUCAAUGCCGCCGCCGCCGACUGAGGACCGC
This 497-nucleotide ribosomal RNA is filed under the name Helvella costifera. Its description in RNAcentral is "eukaryotic LSU rRNA". It matches the Rfam family "Eukaryotic large subunit ribosomal RNA", at positions 103 to 600 of the family's 3401-position model. The record is from RNAcentral. Lineage: Eukaryota; Fungi; Ascomycota; Pezizomycetes; Pezizales; Helvellaceae.